RNAcentral lists this ribosomal RNA (178 nucleotides) under uncultured bacterium. RNAcentral describes it as "partial 16S ribosomal RNA". It matches the Rfam family "Bacterial small subunit ribosomal RNA", at positions 332 to 526 of the family's 1533-position model. The record is from RNAcentral.
AUUACUCCUACGGGAGGCAGCAGUGGGGAAUAUUGGACAAUGGGCGCAAGCCUGAUCCAGCCAUGCCGCGUGAGUGAUGAAGGCCCUAGGGUUGUAAAGCUCUUUCACCGGUGAAGAUAAUGACGGUAACCGGAGAAGAAGCCCCGGCUAACUUCGUGCCAGCAGCCGCGGUAAUAAU